UGAACGCUGGCGGCAGGCCUAACACAUGCAAGUCGAACGGUAACAGGAAGCAGCUUGCUGUUUCGCUGACGAGUGGCGGACGGGUGAGUAAUGUCUGGGAAACUGCCUGAUGGAGGGGGAUAACUACUGGAAACGGUAGCUAAUACCGCAUAACGUCGCAAGACCAAAGAGGGGGACCUUCGGGCCUCUUGCCAUCGGAUGUGCCCAGAUGGGAUUAGCUAGUAGGUGGGGUAACGGCUCACCUAGGCGACGAUCCCUAGCUGGUCUGAGAGGAUGACCAGCCACACUGGAACUGAGACACGGUCCAGACUCCUACGGGAGGCAGCAGUGGGGAAUAUUGCACAAUGGGCGCAAGCCUGAUGCAGCCAUGCCGCGUGUAUGAAGAAGGCCUUCGGGUUGUAAAGUACUUUCAGCGGGGAGGAAGGGAGUAAAGUUAAUACCUUUGCUCAUUGACGUUACCCGCAGAAGAAGCACCGGCUAACUCCGUGCCAGCAGCCGCGGUAAUACGGAGGGUGCAAGCGUUAAUCGGAAUUACUGGGCGUAAAGCGCACGCAGGCGGUUUGUUAAGUCAGAUGUGAAAUCCCCGGGCUCAACCUGGGAACUGCAUCUGAUACUGGCAAGCUUGAGUCUCGUAGAGGGGGGUAGAAUUCCAGGUGUAGCGGUGAAAUGCGUAGAGAUCUGGAGGAAUACCGGUGGCGAAGGCGGCCCCCUGGACGAAGACUGACGCUCAGGUGCGAAAGCGUGGGGAGCAAACAGGAUU
This 760-nucleotide ribosomal RNA is filed under the name Escherichia coli. Its description in RNAcentral is "bacterial SSU rRNA". It matches the Rfam family "Bacterial small subunit ribosomal RNA", at positions 30 to 779 of the family's 1533-position model. The record is from RNAcentral. RNAcentral also lists the same sequence under 1 other name. Lineage: Bacteria; Pseudomonadati; Pseudomonadota; Gammaproteobacteria; Enterobacterales; Enterobacteriaceae.